GACGAGGGCUCCCAGAGUCGUAUUCUGGAGAUAUCACAGAGUGCUGCCCCUGUCACCUCUAGAGCUGCCCAUGAGCUGAUAGAGGAUCACAGCCUCCUCUCGUGGGUCCUGCACGGCUUAGAGAAAAGGUUUCUGGAGAACCAGGUGAUAAAUAAAAUGAUUUCCUUACUCCA
Vidua macroura (Pin-tailed whydah) is the source of this 173-nucleotide long non-coding RNA. RefSeq lists it as uncharacterized. The record is from RefSeq and is a predicted model, not a curated record. The transcript has 3 exons. Lineage: Eukaryota; Metazoa; Chordata; Aves; Passeriformes; Viduidae.